RNAcentral lists this long non-coding RNA (1013 nucleotides) under Physcomitrium patens. Its description in RNAcentral is "long non-coding RNA (PPAT_LNC007251)". The record is from RNAcentral. Lineage: Eukaryota; Viridiplantae; Streptophyta; Bryopsida; Funariales; Funariaceae.
GCUGUGCGAUGAAACAUUUUCUUGUGUUGUUGAUCCCUUCAGGUGCUUUCAAAUGAGUAGGCCAGGGUCAGCCGAAUUUCCACUCCUCUUUCCUGCACCUUAAAAAGAAACUUCAAAUCCCAGUGCCGUUCUCUCAGUUGACUUUGUGUUAACGCUGUUUCUGCUGCUGCUGCGCCGUGGCUGCGGGGUGUGUCUCUCCUCUUUCUCUUCCGCUCGGUACGAAGUCUCCCCUGAGUUCCCUGCUUCAAUCUGAUUUUGUGUUUGUCAACGUGGAAUGUUGGAUUCUAUGCUGCUCUGAGAUUCGAAGUGGCUUUUCUAACGGCGAGCUUGAACAAAUGUGGCGACGUCGCGCGCGUAGGCGAUUCUGAACCGUGGCUUCGUACCCGACAGGGGGAUGUGUACUCUCCUCUGAAGCUUCUUCUGCUUCUGCUUCGCUUUCUUUCUCCCUUCUUCCACGCCUCCGUUUCUCCCUUUAAUAAUUUAUUCCCCUCUUUUUAUUAUCGGUAGUUACAAGAAUAUUAGGAAGCGAAACAAAUGCCUCUAUCUCAUUUGAUAUAUGUCUACAGCACAACAGGCUUUCAAAAGGAUGACUAUAUACAUGUAUACAAGAAAGAGUUAAUAUGAAGUUUCUAUUAAUUUUGAGAAGCUCACCAAAACAAUUAUCACAGAACAACAUAUUUUAAAUAUAAAAAAUAAAAUUGUACGCAUCAUAGGAUUGUUCCUGAAGUAACUAUUUCAGACAUGGAAUUUCAUUUUUUUAAAGAUAGUUGCAAAUUCAGUCUCCUUUAGAAAACACAGUAAGAAAUAUAAUACGCACAUAGUAUUAAACGAUCAGAUGCGUAUUAUAAAAAACCAAUUAUUCCUUGAUCACUUCCUUGACAUGUCAUUUGGACAUAGAUGACCGAUUUUGACAUUCUAUUAUCAGACGUAUAUCUUCACAGAUGUUUAAAAUUUGUUUUUUCUGUGACUAAAACGAUUCUAUAAGUUAUUUUUUAAUGAAUGUACUUAUUAUA